RNAcentral lists this ribosomal RNA (497 nucleotides) under uncultured bacterium. Its description in RNAcentral is "partial 16S ribosomal RNA". It matches the Rfam family "Bacterial small subunit ribosomal RNA", at positions 28 to 507 of the family's 1533-position model. The record is from RNAcentral.
GAUGAACGCUGGCGGCGUGCCUAAUACAUGCAAGUCGAGCGAACAGACGAGGAGCUUGCUCCUCUGACGUUAGCGGCGGACGGGUGAGUAACACGUGGAUAACCUACCUAUAAGACUGGGAUAACUUCGGGAAACCGGAGCUAAUACCGGAUAAUAUAUUGAACCACAUGGUUCAAUAGUGAAAGACGGUUUUGCUGUCACUUAUAGAUGGAUCCGCGCCGCAUUAGCUAGUUGGUAAGGUAACGGCUUACCAAGGCAACGAUGCGUAGCCGACCUGAGAGGGUGAUCGGCCACACUGGAAGUGAGACACGGUCCAGACUCCUACGGGAGGCAGCAGUAGGGAAUCUUCCGCGAUGGGCGAAAGCCUGACGGAGCAACGGCGCGUGAGUGAUGAAGGUCUUCGGAUCGUAAAACUCGGUGAUUAGGGAAGAACAAAUGUGUAAGUAACUAUGCACGUCUUGACGGUACCUAAUCAGAAAGCCACGGCUAACUACGUG